Long non-coding RNA from Triplophysa rosa, 999 nucleotides. RefSeq lists it as uncharacterized. The transcript is spliced from 5 exons. Lineage: Eukaryota; Metazoa; Chordata; Actinopteri; Cypriniformes; Nemacheilidae. The record is from RefSeq and is a predicted model, not a curated record.
AAAAAAACCUGCAUAAAUUACGACAAAAACGAGAUAUUCUAAACGUAAAACAAGAAAUAUGUUAUUGACAAGAGACGCGGAUCAUCUACAUUUAAAUAAAGCUUUACAAGCGGUGUUCCUGUAAUGUACCGUAAACCACUCAAUAAGCGCGCAUCUGAACCUAAACGGCGGCUGGCUUGACCGUGUAUUUUCAAACCGCGGCUGGCUUGACCGCAGUACUAGGCGGCCAUGGAUUCAAAGCCACCGGGCAGCUAUUUCACUCAUGCAAGAAAAUAGACCCUCUGUUCUAUGGAUUCUGGAUGACAGUUAAAUGAAGAGGACAUGCAAUCUCUGCUCUUGUAGUUCAUCAAAUCAGUGUAUAAUAACAAGGCAUUAUACACCAAAGCCACUACAACAGAUUGUUGCUGAAUUCAGCCAGCUGAUGUCCGCUGACCUCAUGAGGUCCUUUUAUAGUGGCCUAGAUGUACAUUUGCCAAACAAAAUCCUACUGUGGCUUGAUGCUAAAAUGACUCACACCAGAACUGCUUUUUUUUGGGCAUGUCUGAUUCCUCCAGUUUUUUAAAGCUUUGUGAGCCAACAGAUGAUUGAAGAUUGAAGAUUUUCUAAAAGGCAUUCACCUGGACAUUUUGAUUGUAAGUGACACGAAGAUGUCUUUCCAAAGGAAAUAAAUGAAUUCUCGCCAAUUCUUGAAGAAUGUCAGGUUCUUACUGAUAUCUCGGAUGUCCCCAAUGCUUUUGGACUCCUGAUGGGUUUACUUUAUGCUGUGAACAUUGACUACCCCAAACACAUUAAGUAAGCCUUUGAGGCUAUGCAAAACACAUAAUGAACAUUGUUGGAAGCAGCUGGUCUUCAUGUGUGCAUGGUCAUAACAACAAGUUGCUACCUAAAAAGUAGUUUUUUUAAAAGAAGCUUCAGGGUUUUGUAUACCAUUUGCAAAUGUUGUAAUGUUGGGUCAAGUUUGUUUUUACACAUCUCAUGUGAACGAGUUUAUUUAAAUAG